Molecule: ribosomal RNA, 840 nt
Filed under: Sarea resinae
Lineage: Eukaryota; Fungi; Ascomycota; Sareomycetes; Sareales; Zythiaceae
Description: partial large subunit ribosomal RNA
Rfam family: Eukaryotic large subunit ribosomal RNA
Source: RNAcentral
GCGGCAACAGCUCAAAUUUGAAAUCUGGCUCUUUCAGGGUCCGAGUUGUAAUUUGUAGAGGAUGUUUCGGGUGUGGCUCCGGUCUAAGUUCCUUGGAACAGGACGUCAUAGAGGGUGAGAAUCCCGUAUGUGACUGGAAGCCUUCGUCCAUGUGAAACUCCUUCGACGAGUCGAGUUGUUUGGGAAUGCAGCUCAAAAUGGGUGGUAAAUUUCAUCUAAAGCUAAAUACUGGCCAGAGACCGAUAGCGCACAAGUAGAGUGAUCGAAAGAUGAAAAGCACUUUGGAAAGAGAGUUAAAAAGUACGUGAAAUUGUUGAAAGGGAAGCGCUUGCAACCAGACUUGCUCGCGGUUGCUCAGCCGGUGUUCUCACCGGUGCACUCUUCCGCGAUCAGGCCAGCAUCGGUUUGGGCGGCUGGAUAAAGGCUCUGGGAAUGUGGCUCCUCUCGGGGAGUGUUAUAGCCCAGGGUGCAAUGCAGCCCGCCCGGAUCGAGGACCGCGCUUCGGCUAGGAUGCUGGCGUAAUGGUUGUAAGCGACCCGUCUUGAAACACGGACCAAGGAGUCUAACAUCUAUGCGAGUGUUUGGGUGUCAAACCCAUGCGCGUAAUGAAAGUGAACGGAGGUGGGAACCCUUAAGGGUGCACCAUCGACCGAUCCUGAUGUCUUCGGAUGGAUUUGAGUAAGAGCAUAGCUGUUGGGACCCGAAAGAUGGUGAACUAUGCCUGAAUAGGGUGAAGCCAGAGGAAACUCUGGUGGAGGCUCGCAGCGGUUCUGACGUGCAAAUCGAUCGUCAAAUUUGGGUAUAGGGGCGAAAGACUAAUCGAACCAUUUUACUACUAGG